GCGGAAGUGGCGGAAUGGCAGACGCGCUAGCUUCAGGAGCUAGUGGGGGCAACCUCAUGAGGGUUCAACUCCCUCCUUCCGCACCA
Molecule: transfer RNA, 86 nt
Filed under: Candidatus Omnitrophota bacterium
Lineage: Bacteria; Pseudomonadati; Candidatus Omnitrophota
Description: Candidatus Omnitrophica bacterium (marine metagenome) tRNA-Leu
Rfam family: tRNA
About the family: Transfer RNA (tRNA) molecules are approximately 80 nucleotides in length.
Source: RNAcentral